UAUUAGGUUGGUGCAAGAGUAAUUGCGGUUUUUGCCAUUACUUUCAAUGUCAAAAACCGCAAUAACUUUUACCCCAA
RNAcentral lists this microRNA precursor (77 nucleotides) under Nomascus leucogenys (northern white-cheeked gibbon). RNAcentral's name for it is "miRNA (ENSNLEG00000027492.1)". Lineage: Eukaryota; Metazoa; Chordata; Mammalia; Primates; Hylobatidae. The record is from RNAcentral.